This 2902-nucleotide ribosomal RNA is filed under the name Klebsiella pneumoniae. RNAcentral describes it as "23S ribosomal RNA". It matches the Rfam family "Bacterial large subunit ribosomal RNA". The record is from RNAcentral. Lineage: Bacteria; Pseudomonadati; Pseudomonadota; Gammaproteobacteria; Enterobacterales; Enterobacteriaceae.
GGUUAAGCGACUAAGCGUACACGGUGGAUGCCCUGGCAGUCAGAGGCGAUGAAGGACGUGCUAAUCUGCGAAAAGCGUCGGUAAGGUGAUAUGAACCGUUAUAGCCGGCGAUGUCCGAAUGGGGAAACCCAGUGCAAUUCGUUGCACUAUCGUUAACUGAAUACAUAGGUUAACGAGGCGAACCGGGGGAACUGAAACAUCUAAGUACCCCGAGGAAAAGAAAUCAACCGAGAUUCCCCCAGUAGCGGCGAGCGAACGGGGAGCAGCCCAGAGUCUGAAUCAGCUUGUGUGUUAGUGGAACGGUCUGGAAAGUCCGACGGUACAGGGUGAUAGUCCCGUACACCAAAAUGCACAGGUUGUGAACUCGAAGAGUAGGGCGGGACACGUGGUAUCCUGUCUGAAUAUGGGGGGACCAUCCUCCAAGGCUAAAUACUCCUGACUGACCGAUAGUGAACCAGUACCGUGAGGGAAAGGCGAAAAGAACCCCGGCGAGGGGAGUGAAAAAGAACCUGAAACCGUGUACGUACAAGCAGUGGGAGCACCUUCGGGUGUGACUGCGUACCUUUUGUAUAAUGGGUCAGCGACUUAUAUUCUGUAGCAAGGUUAACCGUAUAGGGGAGCCGCAGGGAAACCGAGUCUUAACUGGGCGUUAAGUUGCAGGGUAUAGACCCGAAACCCGGUGAUCUAGCCAUGGGCAGGUUGAAGGUUGGGUAACACUAACUGGAGGACCGAACCGACUAAUGUUGAAAAAUUAGCGGAUGACUUGUGGCUGGGGGUGAAAGGCCAAUCAAACCGGGAGAUAGCUGGUUCUCCCCGAAAGCUAUUUAGGUAGCGCCUCGUGAACUCAUCUUCGGGGGUAGAGCACUGUUUCGGCUAGGGGGUCAUCCCGACUUACCAACCCGAUGCAAACUACGAAUACCGAAGAAUGUUAUCACGGGAGACACACGGCGGGUGCUAACGUCCGUCGUGAAGAGGGAAACAACCCAGACCGCCAGCUAAGGUCCCAAAGUCAUGGUUAAGUGGGAAACGAUGUGGGAAGGCACAGACAGCCAGGAUGUUGGCUUAGAAGCAGCCAUCAUUUAAAGAAAGCGUAAUAGCUCACUGGUCGAGUCGGCCUGCGCGGAAGAUGUAACGGGGCUAAACCAUGCACCGAAGCUGCGGCAGCGACACUAUGUGUUGUUGGGUAGGGGAGCGUUCUGUAAGCCUGCGAAGGUGUGCUGUGAGGCAUGCUGGAGGUAUCAGAAGUGCGAAUGCUGACAUAAGUAACGAUAAAGCGGGUGAAAAGCCCGCUCGCCGGAAGACCAAGGGUUCCUGUCCAACGUUAAUCGGGGCAGGGUGAGUCGACCCCUAAGGCGAGGCCGAAAGGCGUAGUCGAUGGGAAACAGGUUAAUAUUCCUGUACUUGGUGUUACUGCGAAGGGGGGACGGAGAAGGCUAUGUUAGCCGGGCGACGGUUGUCCCGGUUUAAGCAUGUAGGCUGGUUAUCCAGGCAAAUCCGGAUAAUCAAGGCUGAGGUGUGAUGACGAGGCACUACGGUGCUGAAGUAACAAAUGCCCUGCUUCCAGGAAAAGCCUCUAAGCAUCAGGUAACAUCAAAUCGUACCCCAAACCGACACAGGUGGUCAGGUAGAGAAUACCAAGGCGCUUGAGAGAACUCGGGUGAAGGAACUAGGCAAAAUGGUGCCGUAACUUCGGGAGAAGGCACGCUGGUGUGUAGGUGAAGUCCCUGCGGAUGGAGCUGAGACCAGUCGAAGAUACCAGCUGGCUGCAACUGUUUAUUAAAAACACAGCACUGUGCAAACACGAAAGUGGACGUAUACGGUGUGACGCCUGCCCGGUGCCGGAAGGUUAAUUGAUGGGGUUAUCCGUAAGGAGAAGCUCUUGAUCGAAGCCCCGGUAAACGGCGGCCGUAACUAUAACGGUCCUAAGGUAGCGAAAUUCCUUGUCGGGUAAGUUCCGACCUGCACGAAUGGCGUAAUGAUGGCCAGGCUGUCUCCACCCGAGACUCAGUGAAAUUGAACUCGCUGUGAAGAUGCAGUGUACCCGCGGCAAGACGGAAAGACCCCGUGAACCUUUACUAUAGCUUGACACUGAACAUUGAGCCUUGAUGUGUAGGAUAGGUGGGAGGCUUUGAAGCGUGGACGCCAGUCUGCGUGGAGCCAACCUUGAAAUACCACCCUUUAAUGUUUGAUGUUCUAACGUUGGCCCCUUACCGGGGUUGCGGACAGUGUCUGGUGGGUAGUUUGACUGGGGCGGUCUCCUCCCAAAGCGUAACGGAGGAGCACGAAGGUUAGCUAAUCCUGGUCGGACAUCAGGAGGUUAGUGCAAUGGCAUAAGCUAGCUUGACUGCGAGCGUGACGGCGCGAGCAGGUGCGAAAGCAGGUCAUAGUGAUCCGGUGGUUCUGAAUGGAAGGGCCAUCGCUCAACGGAUAAAAGGUACUCCGGGGAUAACAGGCUGAUACCGCCCAAGAGUUCAUAUCGACGGCGGUGUUUGGCACCUCGAUGUCGGCUCAUCACAUCCUGGGGCUGAAGUAGGUCCCAAGGGUAUGGCUGUUCGCCAUUUAAAGUGGUACGCGAGCUGGGUUUAGAACGUCGUGAGACAGUUCGGUCCCUAUCUGCCGUGGGCGCUGGAGAAUUGAGGGGGGCUGCUCCUAGUACGAGAGGACCGGAGUGGACGCAUCACUGGUGUUCGGGUUGUCAUGCCAAUGGCACUGCCCGGUAGCUAAAUGCGGAAGAGAUAAGUGCUGAAAGCAUCUAAGCACGAAACUUGCCCCGAGAUGAGUUCUCCCUGAGACUUUAAGUCUCCUGAAGGAACGUUAAAGACGAUGACGUUGAUAGGCCGGGUGUGUAAGCGCAGCGAUGCGUUGAGCUAACCGGUACUAAUGAACCGUGAGGCUUAACCUU